This 253-nucleotide ribosomal RNA is filed under the name uncultured bacterium. RNAcentral describes it as "partial 16S ribosomal RNA". It matches the Rfam family "Bacterial small subunit ribosomal RNA", at positions 524 to 776 of the family's 1533-position model. The record is from RNAcentral.
GACGGAGGAGGCAAGCGUUAUCCGGAAUUAUUGGGCGUAAAGCGUACGCAGGUGGAUUUACAAGUCUUUUGUCAAAGACCAGGGCUCAACCCCGGGAAGGCAGAGGAAACUGUUAAUCUAGAGUGCGAUAGGGGCAGGAGGAAUUCCCGGUGUAGCGGUGAAAUGCGUAGAUAUCGGGAAGAACACCAGCGGCGAAAGCGUCCUGCUAGGUCGCAACUGACACUCAUGUACGAAAGCUAGGGGAGCGAAUGGG